This 440-nucleotide ribosomal RNA is filed under the name uncultured bacterium. RNAcentral's name for it is "partial 16S ribosomal RNA". It matches the Rfam family "Bacterial small subunit ribosomal RNA", at positions 338 to 795 of the family's 1533-position model. The record is from RNAcentral.
CCUACGGGGGGCAGCAGUGGGGAAUAUUGCACAAUGGGGGAAACCCUGAUGCAGCGACGCCGCGUGAGUGAAGAAGUAUCUCGGUAUGUAAAGCUCUAUCAGCAGGGAAGAAAAGGACGGUACCUGACUAAGAAGCUACGGCUAACUACGUGACAGCAGCCGCGGUAAUACGUAGGGGGCAAGCGUUAUACGGAUGUACGGGGGGUAAAGGGAGCGUAGACGGCGCGGCAAGUCCGGAGUGAAAGUCCAUGGCUUAACCAUGAUACUGCUCUGGAAACUGUGGAGCUUGAGUGCGGGAGGGGCAGGCGGAAUUCCUAGUGUAGCGGUGAAAUGCGUAGAUAUUAGGAAGAACACCGACGGCGAAGGCAGCCUACUGGACCGUAACUGACGUUGAGGCUCGAAAGCGUGGGGAGCAAACAGGAUUAGAUACCCUAGUAGUC